This 460-nucleotide ribosomal RNA is filed under the name uncultured bacterium. RNAcentral's name for it is "bacterial SSU rRNA". It matches the Rfam family "Bacterial small subunit ribosomal RNA", at positions 355 to 803 of the family's 1533-position model. The record is from RNAcentral.
UGGGGAAUAUUGGACAAUGGGCGAAAGCCUGAUCCAGCCAUGCCGCGUGUGUGAAGAAGGUCUUCGGAUUGUAAAGCACUUUAAGUUGGGAGGAAGAGCAGUUACCUAAUACGUGAUUGUUUUGACGUUACCGACAGAAUAAGCACCGGCUAACUCUGUGCCAGCAGCCGCGGUAAUACAGAGGGUGCAAGCGUUAAUCGGAAUUACUGGGCGUAAAGCGCGCGUAGGUGGUUAGUUAAGUUGGAUGUGAAAUUCCCCGGGCUCAACCUGGGAACUGCAUUCAAAACUGACUGGCUAGAGUAUGGUAGAGGGUGGUGGAAUUUCCUGUGUAGCGGUGAAAUGCGUAGAUAUAGGAAGGAACACCAGUGGCGAAGGCGACCACCUGGACUGAUACUGACACUGAGGUGCGAAAGCGUGGGGAGCAAACAGGAUUAGAUACCCACGUAGUCCCCUGAGCGGG